AGGUGCUAUCAUACCAGCACUACUGUACCGGAUCUCAUCAGAACUCCGCAGCUAAGCGUGCUUAGGCGAGAGUAGCACUAGGAUAGGUGACCUCUUGGGAAGUCCUCAUGUUGCACCCC
RNAcentral lists this ribosomal RNA (119 nucleotides) under Gossypium arboreum. The record is from RNAcentral. Lineage: Eukaryota; Viridiplantae; Streptophyta; Magnoliopsida; Malvales; Malvaceae.